AACGGCCGCGGUAUCCUAACCGUGCGAAGGUAGCGUAAUCACUUGUUCUUUAAAUGAGGACUAGUAUGAAUGGCACCACGAGGGUUAAGCUGUCUCCUUUUUCUAAUCAGUGAAACUAAUCUCCCCGUGAAGAAGCGGGGAUUAUAUUAUAAGACGAGAAGACCCUAUGGAGCUUAAAACAAAUUAACACUUGCUUCUACCCAUUUUUACUCCUGAACUAACACAUAAAAUAUAGCAUCGUUGAUUAAUAGUUUUCGAUUGGGGUGAUCAUGGAGUAAAAACCAACCUCCACGACGAAAAGGAACACUUCCCUGAGCUAAAAGCUACAACUUUAAGCACUAAAAAAUUAACGCACUUUGACCCAAAUUUUUGAGCAACGAACCAAGUUACCCUAGGGAUAACAGCGCAAUCCAUUUCAAGAGCCCCUAUCGACAAAUGGGUUUACGACCUCGAUGUUGGAUCAGGGUAUCCCAGUGGUGCAGCCGCUACUAAAGGUUCGUUUGUUCAACGAUUAAAACCCUACGUGAUCUGAGUUCAGACCGGAGAAAUCCAGGUCAGUUUCUAUCUAUAAAGGGCUUUUUCUAGUACGAAAGGACCGAAAAAGCAUGGCCAAUGAUCAAUUAAGCCAUAUAAAUUACUCAUGUUUUCAACUCAAUUAGAAACAAACCUACCAUAAACCUCAAAAAAAGAGAAGUUAACGUAGCAAAACCUGGCCCUGCAA
Molecule: ribosomal RNA, 721 nt
Filed under: Boana albopunctata (spotted treefrog)
Lineage: Eukaryota; Metazoa; Chordata; Amphibia; Anura; Hylidae
Description: partial 16S ribosomal RNA
Rfam family: Bacterial large subunit ribosomal RNA
Source: RNAcentral